GUCGGUGUCGUAUAGUGGUUAGUACGUAUCGUUGUGGAUUGCAAUGUACCGAUGAAACGGCGGUUCGAUUCCGCCCACCGGCA
Non-coding RNA from Tilletia controversa (dwarf bunt fungus), 83 nucleotides. The record is from Rfam. NCBI's taxonomy places the organism in Eukaryota, Fungi, Basidiomycota, Exobasidiomycetes, Tilletiales, Tilletiaceae.